UCAACUUUAGCUUGCUCUUCAAGCUAGCCAUACCAAUUAUUCCCCAAGCUAAACAUAUUCUAUAAAUAGAAGGGUGUAAUAUCUCGUAUGAGGCAUCCCAAAACUUGAGUUAAUAAUGGAAGAAUCAUUGAUGCAAUUGAUGCGUCUCCUAGGGGAUGAAGAACCACAACUCCGGCGACGACGCAUCCGUAAUAGCAACAAAAAUGGUCGUCGGCAAAACACACAGUCUAACACUGGCACACAAAACAUGGAGGGUCUUAUUAACAACACCGGUUAUGUUGAGGGCAAUGGCAACGGAUGCAUCAUUCUUGGUGGUUUUGAUUCCUCAACAAAAGCUUUCGAUUAAUUAACUAUUUUUACUACUAUCACCAAUCUUAUUGUUGUACUAUAUAUUAUGUAUUAUGUGUUGUAUUGUUGAAAGAACUUGAGCAAUAGCUCUCUCAUCACAACUCUUGUAUCCAUGUUAUGUAGUUGUAUUUUUGUUUUUUGUUUUUAAUGAAAUAGUGAAAAAACUUGUACAUAGUUAUAAAAUUUUAUUUAAUUUAUUAUUUUAAAUGUGUGCAAUUACACAAUAUUCAUGA
Molecule: long non-coding RNA, 581 nt
Filed under: Cicer arietinum (chickpea)
Lineage: Eukaryota; Viridiplantae; Streptophyta; Magnoliopsida; Fabales; Fabaceae
Description: long non-coding RNA (CARI_LNC000143)
Source: RNAcentral